GGCUUGGCGGGAUGCUUACCAUGCAGUCGAACGGCAGCACGGGUGCUUGCACCUGGUGGCGAGUGGCGAACGGGUGAGUAAUACAUCGGAACAUGUCCUGUAGUGGGGGAUAGCCCGGCGAAAGCCGGAUUAAUACCGCAUACGAUCUACGGAUGAAAGCGGGGGACCUUCGGGCCUCGCGCUAUAGGGUUGGCCGAUGGCUGAUUAGCUAGUUGGUGGGGUAAAGGCCUACCAAGGCGACGAUCAGUAGCUGGUCUGAGAGGACGACCAGCCACACUGGGACUGAGACACGGCCCAGACUCCUACGGGAGGCAGCAGUGGGGAAUUUUGGACAAUGGGCGAAAGCCUGAUCCAGCAAUGCCGCGUGUGUGAAGAAGGCCUUCGGGUUGUAAAGCACUUUUGUCCGGAAAGAAAUCCUUGGCUCUAAUACAGUCGGGGGAUGACGGUACCGGAAGAAUAAGCACCGGCUAACUACGUGCCAGACGGCC
This 488-nucleotide ribosomal RNA is filed under the name Burkholderia sp. HE35C. RNAcentral's name for it is "bacterial SSU rRNA". It matches the Rfam family "Bacterial small subunit ribosomal RNA", at positions 36 to 517 of the family's 1533-position model. The record is from RNAcentral. Lineage: Bacteria; Pseudomonadati; Pseudomonadota; Betaproteobacteria; Burkholderiales; Burkholderiaceae.